GGGUCAGUAGGUUGGUCGUGCCACCGGUACGUACUGGUCUCACUGAUUCCUCCUUCCUGAAGAACCGUAGUGCCAUUAAUUUGGUGUUGCGGGGAAACAGGACCGUUACUUUGAAAAAAUUAGAGUGUUUAAAGCAAGCUAACGCUUGAAUACAUUAGCAUGGAAUAAUGAAAUAGGACGAUCGAUCCUAUUUUGUUGGUUUCUAGGAUUGACGUA
Molecule: ribosomal RNA, 216 nt
Filed under: Glomeromycotina sp.
Lineage: Eukaryota; Fungi; Glomeromycota
Description: partial small subunit ribosomal RNA
Rfam family: Eukaryotic small subunit ribosomal RNA (bases 40-216)
Source: RNAcentral